Long non-coding RNA from Lycium ferocissimum, 2211 nucleotides. RefSeq lists it as uncharacterized. The record is from RefSeq and is a predicted model, not a curated record. The transcript is spliced from 3 exons. NCBI's taxonomy places the organism in Eukaryota, Viridiplantae, Streptophyta, Magnoliopsida, Solanales, Solanaceae.
ACAACCCUUUGUCAUAGAUUUGCUCAAAGAAAAUUAGGGUUUUGUUAGUAUGAAGAGUGAAACUACAAGUCAUAGUAGUACUUCACCACAAAGUAUGGGCCAAUCCAAAUUUCUCAAAAAGAAAUGUUAAAACCUUUACAAACCCUCAGAAGAAAGUGAACUCAACGUUAUAUAUACCCUUUAAUUUCCACUGUUUUUAUCUCUACAUGCCACCAUUCUCUCUCUCUCUCCUCAGAAUAGCUUAAAACACAAAAUUGAUAUGUCUCUCUUGGUUGAGGCUUAGAUCUACGAGGCUUGUUAAUUAGAUCCUUCUUUUAGUUUUUAUUUUUUUAAUUUUUUUUUUAUACAUGUUUUCCUAUUUCUUGAUCUAUUGAAAUGAUUGUGACUCCUAUUUAUCUUUUACAAGGAGGAGAAGUUCUUGAUAGCUUUUUAUUUAAUUUAGUUUUGGAGUCUUGAUAUAGUACUAUUUGUUCUUAUGGAUAGUUUUAAUUAUUUCUUGUUGGAUUAAUUAAAUCAACUUGAUCCAUCUGAAAUAGUGAAAAAAUUAUGACCCGAAAACCAAGAAUUUAAAAGUAUUGUAAGUCUUGCUUCUGAUCUCAAAAUUUUAGAUGAAACACUAUUUUCCUUUUUGAAGAAUAGAGGCUUUUGAUAUCAAAGAUGUAGUGAUUUUGAUCAAUCCUGAAUUAUAGGGUUUAUGGUUAUUGACCAUGGAUCAAGUGAUACAGUCGCUGUUUGCAGCUGCAGCAUCAUGAAGAUUCACAUGCAAAGGCAAGGUGGUGUGACGAUACAGUGGCGGAUCUAGACUAGAUGAUUCUAAACUUGGAUUCGCCGUUUGACAAUGAAAGUGAGAAUCUUGAUGAUGCUGCAUCAGCAAUAAAGGACUAACUGACCAUUCAAGGGGUGUCAAAUUCUUCAUCGGAAAAUUAAACUGUAUAUUUAGUGUGUGUAUAUAUACACACACUAAGUAUUGAUUCCCUUUGGGUUCUCCUUGAAUUUACGCUUUUAUAUUUUAACCAACCCUAGUUAUCGGGGUAUGCUAGCUUAUUUUUCGCACUUUGCAGAAAAGAGAAGCUCAGUCACAUACUUGGAAGUACAACUAGUUUGCUCCUUUUUAUAUCCAUUGAGGAAGACGAUGUUUCCUCCUAUGUCGUCUUUAAUUAGACGAUGUUUCCUCCUAUUUCGUCUUAAUUCUAUUGUUAAUCUUUUGAGUGCACAAUUUUUUUUUGUCAGGUGAGCAUCUGGUACUUGUAAGCCUCAAGCCAUAUUUUAAACUCUUUUUUAUCUGGUCAUGUCAUCAUAUAUUUGAAAUUCAUUACCUCCAACUAAUUAAGUUGGAUUCUCACCAUAUAUAGGGCUUAUUAAGGGAAAAUUGUUUCCAAUGAGGAGUUUCUUUCCGGCUUUUAACCCUAAGAAGAUCUUUGAUUAAUUAAGAACGAAGGGAUUACAUCCAUUCUAUCACUCUCGGGUCAUUAAGUAGGCGGUUGGACAUGAUUAGUUGGAGAUUGGAAAAAAAAGUAAAACUGAAGUUGGAACAAGAUACUGCUCGUUGAAGACUAAUGGAAAUGACCCUGCAGUUGCAGAAGGAUGACGACAGCACAGAUCUGUGAUUAUUUUCUCCAGUUAAAAGAUUUUAAUGGCAGAAGAGACGGAGGAGGGUGAGAGCCGGUGGCGGCUCCAUUUUCUCCAGCGAGCAAGGUUGGUCAUUUGAAAGGACAAGGGUAGAAAACGAGGUGGUGUGUGGAGGAGAAGAUGGCCGGAGAAAGAAGGGGAAGGAGAAGUGUGGGUGGCGACAGAUCUGGAUGGUGGUGGUGUCAGCGGUCGUCGAAGGUUGAGUCUGCCAGUCGCUGGUGGUCAGCUCCGGCGAGGCAAAGAAUUAUACAAGUGGAGGAGAAGGAGGCGGUGGGAGGAGGGGGGGUUCAUUUUAAUUUUUUUAAGUUAAAAUCCACAUGUCAUUAUUUUAUUGGUCAUUUUGACGUGUGAAUUACACACACCUGUGUUGUUUGGCUGCAUAUUACCUUUGUGUCUAAAUGGCACCGCAAAAGUGGUCUUUGAGGGUUCAGAUGGUACAAGUCUCGGUUGGAGGGUCUAAAUGGAAUUUCUGGACAAGUUCGAGGGUCUGUCGAUGAUUUAAGCUUUUGUUUUAAUUUAAUUAGCACUUGAACACAUGAUAAAGAGUUUUUAUUAGACAUUUUCAAUUCAAAUUUUGGAAAA